AUGGGAGGCGGCAGCCUCUGGCUGCGGUCACCGCUGCCGGGCGCGCUGACCAAUGGCGACGCGGUUUGGCGGGAGGGGGCGUGGCCAGCGCCGCCCCCGGCGCGGUCCCGGCGCGGUCCCGGCGCGGUCCCGGCGCGGUCCCGGCGCGGUCCCGGCGCGGUCCCGGGGCGGCGGCGGCGGCGGAGCGGGGCGGGGGCGGCGGCCCCGCAGGUGAGUCCCGCGUCCUGCCCGGAGCGGGCACCGAGCCCCGGCCCCGCACAGGGGGUCCCGUCCUGGAGUGCCCCCGCCGCGCAGCAGCCCUGGCCCCGCCGUUCCCGCGCGGGUUCUCCCCGCCGCCCCCGCAGCAUCGCCCUCGCCGGUGUGCAGAGGCGCAGCCCCGUGCCCCCCCCCCCCCCCGCCACGAUCCCCCCUGCGCUGUACACCGCGCCCCGCUGCACCGCACCGUCCUGGAGCCCACCGUUAAUAACGCCCCGGUGCACCGUGCAGCCCCCGCUGGCCACGAGCCCGCUCCCGGUGCUGCGGGAGGCCCCCCCGCCGCCUCCCCCCGCUGCAGGUGCAGGGCUCGGUUCAGCGCUUUUCCUCCUUUUUUAUUUUCCGGGGUGCACGCCCCGACUCCCCGCCGUGCCUCCCGUUCCCGGGGGGUUUUGGGACGAGCAGCCCCCCCCCCCACCCCGAUCUUCCCCCGCCUUCCCAAACCGGGCCCCCCACUCCGGUCCCCCCGCAUCCUCCGGGGGUCCCCGGCGCCCCGCACUGACGGUCACGGCCCCGGGUGGCCCGAACCGCCCGGUUUUGGGGAGCGGGGGUCCUGGGGUGGCCCUGCCGCAGUCCCCCCACCCCGCACCCGCCGUCCCUCUCGGGGACUCGGUGGCCGCGGCCACCAGCGGGGACUUUGGCCGGCGGCGCGUUCGUGGCGUUCGCGGCCGCCCGGGACCGGCGGGGCUGUGGGGUUCAGCCGCCCCCCGCCCCGGCCCCUCCCGGUUUUUUCGCCCCCCGUUUGUCGGGGGGGCCGCGCUGAGCCCGCCCCGCCCGUGA
This 1032-nucleotide long non-coding RNA is filed under the name Taeniopygia guttata (zebra finch). Its description in RNAcentral is "lncRNA (ENSTGUG00000025126.1)". Lineage: Eukaryota; Metazoa; Chordata; Aves; Passeriformes; Estrildidae. The record is from RNAcentral.